RNAcentral lists this ribosomal RNA (774 nucleotides) under uncultured Neocallimastigales. Its description in RNAcentral is "partial large subunit ribosomal RNA". It matches the Rfam family "Eukaryotic large subunit ribosomal RNA", at positions 24 to 645 of the family's 3401-position model. Lineage: Eukaryota; Fungi; Neocallimastigomycota; Neocallimastigomycetes; Neocallimastigales. The record is from RNAcentral.
UAUGUGAUCGUCUCUCGCAUAUCAAUAAGCGGAGGAAAAGAAACUAACAAGGAUUCCCCUAGUAACGGCGAGUGAAGCGGGAAGAGCUCAAAUUUGAAAUCUUAAAGGGUUUCCCUUUACGAAUUGUAGUUUAAAGAAGUGUUUUCUGUUGAGGUUUUGGUAAAAGUUCUUUGGAAUAGGACAUCAUAGAGGGUGAGAAUCCCGUAUUUGACCUUUACUUUCAACUUUGUGAUACACUUUCAAAGAGUCGAAUUGUUUGGGAAUGCAGUCCAAAAUGGGUGGUAAAUUUCAUCUAAAGCUAAAUAUUGGCGAGAGACCGAUAGCGAACAAGUACCGUGAGGGAAAGAUGAAAAGAACUUUGAAAAGAGAGUUAAACAGUACGUGAAAUUGUCAAAAGGGAAGCGUUUGACACCAGUGUUGUUUUUCUGAAAAUCAAUUAAAGAACUGUUUAUGCUAAGCUGUUUAGACUUUAUCAGCUAUCUGUUUAGUUUUGAGCUUUUCUUUAAUGCACUUUUCAGUUAACAAGUCAACAUCAAUUUCUUUUGCUGUAAAAAAGCUUGAGGAAGGUGGCUUGAGAUUCGUCUUAAGUGUUUAUAGCCUCUUGCCUAUGCAGUCGGAGAGAUUGAGGUCUGCAGCGUAGAUCCUUCGGGGCUAAAUGCAUUUGUGCUAAGUUAUAGCAUUUUAUAGACAACUUGUUGACUAUGAUUUGUCUUGUAGCUUACUCGCUUAUGUUAUUUUACCUACGCUUAGGAUGUUGAUCUCUCACAGUCGAGC